Oncorhynchus tshawytscha (Chinook salmon) is the source of this 1995-nucleotide long non-coding RNA. The record is from Ensembl. Lineage: Eukaryota; Metazoa; Chordata; Actinopteri; Salmoniformes; Salmonidae.
GGCCAAAUCUAGAGCGCCCCAGAAGUGACAAAAAGGAAACUUUUUUGUUUGCCUGCCAUCGUGCGGACUGAGUCAAGGAGGAAUUUUAGCAACAUGUAAUUUACUCUUGGGCCUUUUUACUGUACGUAGCUUUAGAGAUGGUAAUUUCUCCCUUUCUCGGUGUGAAAAGAUAACCAUCAAUCAGUUGUCAAUUGGUCAAUUGCAGAGGUGAUGAAAAGGAAGGGGUUGAACAAUCCCCUCUCUCUGGCUACCUAGAGUAUUCAGGAGCCUUGGGAAAACGUGGCAGCUGGAGCAGAGCAGGGAGAGGAUCAGUCACACAGGUACAGCAGCCAUGGGGUAGCGAGCAAAACACCAGCGUUCAGCGACCAGCUUGAGCGGUGGUACGCUGAAGUAAGAGCACUGGCUUUUGGAAAAAUCUGCGGACUACCGGGCGAGCAAAGAGAGAGAGACAGCCUACCGCUGUGUCGGUCGAGCAGAGAGCGGGAUCUCCGGCGGCUGAAGUGUGGUUCUUGAAUCGGCCAGAUACUGUUCCAUCCUCUUUUCUGCCAAUCAAGCAAAGAUGAGGACAACACCCAAACUGGCACGUAAGUAGCAUUACAGUCAAGAGUGGUUCGGGGACAGUGAAAAGCAGGCUGCGCCUAUAUGCAGUGCACUGCAGUGUGAUAGAGUAUCGCGUUAUGAGCUUCAGUGGUUCGUAGGUUAUUUUCCCAUUGGGUACUCGGACAUCAUUUAAAACUUGCUCAACACUCGCAAACAUUAGAUUUCAAGUAGAUUUAUAUUAUAAAUAUCCAUCAUGUACGUGUUUAGUGGUUUGUUUUGUUUUUGUAAUGGCUUUGUUUGUUUUGUUUGACUACUGUUUGAGAUUUGUCCCAUUAUGUAUUUUUUUUUUAAACAUUUUGUUACACAAUUCUCCUAAUGUUCAGCCUAAUUCAGCCUAAUGUUUGACCUUUAAAAACUGUUCUUAAUAAUUUUUCAAGAUGUAUUGAUUUGGCCUUGAUCUAGGCUACUUGAGAGUAGGCUGUCAAUCAUAAAUAUUGAAACAUCACACUUGUCAAAUGAUUGUUCCAAAGUAAAUGUUUAAUAUGUAUUAAUCCAUUUCUGAGUUUAUACUGAUUUAUAGUUUGAAGUUAAAGAGCAAUAUAGUAAAUUAGAGAACAGAAAUGUUUGUGGGUAGAGUUAAGUUAGUAUAACUAUAUUACGUUUAAAAUUGCACUCUUUAACCAUCCACUCUCCCUUUUCCUUGGGUAUUUCAUAGGCUACAUGUAUUGAGUGCUUAUAAAUUAAUAUUUUCUUUGGUGCAGGCCUACUGCUCUCCAAUCACUAGCACGACACCUAGUGGACAAUAAUAUAACAUUUAGAGAUUCAUCAUGGUUAUUUUCUGUCAUUUUUCUUACCAUGAAGUCUCUCUCUAUCUCUGUCUCUCUGAGAAAAGGAAGGAUCUGUUUAAAAAGUACAUCCAUUAAUUAAAUAAACAUAUUACAUCCAAUUAGUAAUAUCAGUGCUGGUUAUGUUGGAUUAUAUUCAGUAAAUAUGGAUAUUUUAGGACUUUAGUGUGAUUAAAGAUAUAAUGAGUUAGGCUAUAGGCAAUAGGGUUAUUAUGGGAUAUAUAUUGAGGCAGGCCUAAGGGUUAUUAUGGGAGGUAUAUUGAGUUAGGCUAUAGGCCUAAGGGUUAUUAUUGCAGACAUGGUUUUAUAUCGGGUCAGAUGUACAUUUUGAAAGGGAGAAAAAGAUGAUUACAUUUUCCAGAAGGGUGGGCUAUAGGCUUUUAAAAACAAUAUUUAACAGAUUCCCUCUAGGAUAUUUUCACACUCAUUAUGUUUAGAGUUGAUAGGAAUGGGCCUGCAUUUAAUGAGAAACAAUGUGUUUUUAUUAAAAAGUUAAUUUGCUAUGAAUUACAGUGUUUUUCUUUCUAGUUUGUACAUGAAUAAAAUAGCCUAUAAAUGUGUUAUUAUUGAUUUUGCUCAGUCGAUUUUGCUCAAUUUUGCUCAUAUUUUU